GAUGAACGCUGGCGGCGUGCCUAAUACAUGCAAGUCGAGCGAACAGACGAGGAGCUUGCUCCUCUGACGUUAGCGGCGGACGGGUGAGUAACACGUGGAUAACCUACCUAUAAGACUGGGAUAACUUCGGGAAACCGGAGCUAAUACCGGAUACUAUAUUGAACCGCAUGGUUCAAUAGUGAAAGACGGUUUUGCUGUCACUUAUAGAUGGAUCCGCGCCGCAUUAGCUAGUUGGUAAGGUAACGGCUUACCAAGGCAACGAUGCGUAGCCGACCUGAGAGGGUGAUCGGCCACACUGGAACUGAGACACGGUCCAGACUCCUACGGGAGGCAGCAGUAGGGAAUGGUCCGCAACGGGCGAAAGCCUGACGGAGCAACGCCGCGUGAGUGAUGAAGGUCUUCGGAUCGUAAAACCCUGUUAUUAGGGAAGAACAAAUGUGUAAGUAACUAUGCACGUCUUGACGGUACCUAAUCAGAAAGCCACGGCUAACUACGUG
RNAcentral lists this ribosomal RNA (497 nucleotides) under uncultured bacterium. Its description in RNAcentral is "partial 16S ribosomal RNA". It matches the Rfam family "Bacterial small subunit ribosomal RNA", at positions 28 to 507 of the family's 1533-position model. The record is from RNAcentral.